GGGUGCAUAGCUCAGUCGGUAGAGCAACUGCCUUUUAAGCAGAAGGUCGAGGGUUCGAUUCCCCCUGCACCCACCA
RNAcentral lists this transfer RNA (76 nucleotides) under Candidatus Moraniibacteriota bacterium. RNAcentral describes it as "tRNA-Lys". It matches the Rfam family "tRNA". From Rfam's summary of the family: Transfer RNA (tRNA) molecules are approximately 80 nucleotides in length. Lineage: Bacteria; Candidatus Moraniibacteriota. The record is from RNAcentral.